Long non-coding RNA from Tarenaya hassleriana, 2007 nucleotides. RefSeq lists it as uncharacterized. The transcript has 5 exons. The record is from RefSeq and is a predicted model, not a curated record. Lineage: Eukaryota; Viridiplantae; Streptophyta; Magnoliopsida; Brassicales; Cleomaceae.
CUCUAAUGACUUGGUAUCUCUGUCUCUUUAGGCCUGAUACAGUCAAAGCUCUGGUCAAUCUCAGUGUGCCGUUCAAUUUCCGGCCGAGGGAUCCGUCGCCGGCGGUCAAUCCACUUGACGGGUUGCGCACGUUUUACGGCGACAAUUACUAUAUCUGCAGAUUUUAGGUUUGGGUUCGAACUUCUUUUAUUGGUUAUGUAGUGGAUCACGCCCAAGUUCCUUCUGUCUGUAGCCCACCACCAAAACACAACCCAACCCACAACACUUAGAGAAAACCUCAGUUCGUGUCUUUGUUCGAAGAUUGCAAUCACGAAUGUUCUUUCUUCCCCUUUGGAGUCUCUGUCCCCCUUCUUCUCUUUCUCUUAGAUUUUAAUCUCAGAUGCAGUCCCGCUAACAACGCUGACGGAGAUAAUCGCAGUUACAGGUUCGACUUCGGUUGUGACCGAAUCGAACACCACCAGAGGCGACGAGUCUCGAGUUGAUGUUCUACCAAAGACGAUGUCUCCGCUGCCACCGAUCUGCACAGAUUCGAUAGAAAAUGCAGCAGAGAAGGAAUUACACUAAAAGAGAUAAGUAACUAAACCCUAAGUCUUGUUUCUUUAUUAAUCAGUUUCUAGAGUUUGUUCUUUUUACCGAUUAAAUGUAUUUAGGGUUUGAUUAGAGUUGAUUCUGAGUAUUUUGGAUGAUUUAUGUUUAGUCUUGCACACAGAAACGAGAACCACACGCACACACCCUUUGGACAGAGAUAUACGAGUUCGGAUCACUCGAUGUGAGUGAACCUACGUCUCGGCAGGGCUUUAGCCCUAGAUCAAUCUCACUAGAUUUUGGGUUUCCUUUUACACAAAUUUUCACCCAGGAAUACAAUCUGAUUCCUCAACACACACACUGCAAUAAGCAAACAUAAUCAAAGACUAGAACUUAGCUUUCUCUGCUCCAAAGAACUAACGUGUUCUUCUUCUUGCAGGAGUAUUCAGCUUCUUGAAAAACCCUUCAGAAGCCCUUGAUCUCUUGUGAAAAACUGUAUCUUGUACGAGUAUUUUUUUACCUUCAAGUAUCUGGACCCUUUUAUAGCCAAAAAGGUUCUGAAGUCUUGAACUUGCUGUCUGCUGGCUGUUGUCUGCUGCCUCCUGCCUCGUGCCUCGUUUCUUGCUUUCCAAGAAACUAUCACUGAUCCGUCCUGCUAACAACGCCGACAGAGAUAAUCGCAGUUACAGGUUCGACUUCGGUUGUGAUCGAAUCGAACACCACCAGAGGCGACGAGUCUCGAGUUGAUGUUCUACCAAAGACGAUGUCUCCGCAGCCACCGAUCUGCACAGAUUCGAUAGAAAACGCAGCAGAGAAGGAAUCGCACUAAAAGAGAUAAGUAACUAAACCCUAAGUCUUGUUUCUUUAUUACUCAGAUUCUAGGGUUUGUUCUUGUUACCGAUUAAAUGUAUUUAGGGUUUGAUUAGAGUUGAUUCUGAGUAUUUUGGAUGAUUUAUGUUUAGUCUUGCACAGAGAAACGAGAACCACACGCACAUACCCUUUGGACAGAGAUAUACGAGUUCGGAUCACUCGAUGAGUAUUCAGCUUCUUGAAAAACCCUUCAGAAGCCUUUGAUCUCUUGUGAAAAACUGUAUCUUAUACGAGUAUUUUUUUACCUUCAAGUAUCUAGAUCCUUUUAUAGCCAAAAAGGAACUAUGAGCUACUAGGGCCAUGGAUAGGGAGCAAGAUCAUUGUACUGAUAAAAUUCAUAGUGGGCGAUCUAGAUCUGGUUUAGCACAAGCCCAACGUGAAGGAAUAUAUCAACGGUCCUCAAUUCAAAGAAGAGUACCAUUUCUCGAGCCACCGGUGGGGAGUGGCUAAUUGGAUUAACCAGGAAAAAACCGGACGAUAUUCUUCAUCACAUCAGCACGACUUCAUCAACAAGUUCUGAAAACCGACUCCGUUUUAUUAAACCACCGGUUAAAUUGUCUGGUAUAUAUGCCGGUUUGUAGCUUGUGGUUGUUUUCAAGGUGUAAUAGAUAU